UCAUCAGGUAGGAUAAUCCUCACCUGUUCCUCCUUUUGGAGGGCAGAUACAGAGUGAAGUAAGUCAAAAAGAGAACAAAUGUACAAUAUCGCUUAUAUGUGUAAUCUAGAAAAAUGGUACAGAUAAACUUAUUUGCA
Molecule: small nucleolar RNA, 137 nt
Organism: Delphinapterus leucas (beluga whale)
Lineage: Eukaryota; Metazoa; Chordata; Mammalia; Artiodactyla; Monodontidae
Gene: U8
Rfam family: U8 small nucleolar RNA
About the family: U8 is a member of the C/D class of snoRNA which contain the C (UGAUGA) and D (CUGA) box motifs. U8 is the RNA component of a small complex (the U8 snoRNP) which is required for accumulation of mature large subunit ribosomal RNAs, 5.8S and 28S rRNAs.
Source: Ensembl